GAUGAACGCUAGCGGGAGGCUUAACACAUGCAAGUCGAGGGGCAGCAUAGGGUAGCAAUACUCUGAUGGCGACCGGCAAACGGGUGAGUAACGCGUAUGCAACCUACCCUGUACAGGGGGAUAACCCGGAGAAAUUCGGACUAAUAUCCCGUAAUAAUAUCCGGAGGCAUCUUUGGAUAUUUAAAGUUCCGACGGUACGGGAUGGGCAUGCGUAACAUUAACUGGUUGGUAAGGUAACGGCUUACCAAGGCUAUGAUGUUUAGGGGUCCUGAGAGGGUGGUCCCCCACACUGGUACUGAGACACGGACCAGACUCCUACGGGAGGCAGCAGUGAGGAAUAUUGGUCAAUGAGCGCAAGCCUGAACCAGCCAUCCCGCGUGCAGGAAGACGGCCCUAUGGGUUGUAAACUGCUUUUCCAGGGAGAGAAACUUACGCACGUGUUGCGUGACUGACGGUACCCUGGGAAUAAGCAUCGGCUAACUCCGUGCCAGCAGCCGCGGUAAACCGAGAGUA
This 513-nucleotide ribosomal RNA is filed under the name uncultured bacterium. Its description in RNAcentral is "bacterial SSU rRNA". It matches the Rfam family "Bacterial small subunit ribosomal RNA", at positions 28 to 533 of the family's 1533-position model. The record is from RNAcentral.